Molecule: transfer RNA, 77 nt
Filed under: Klebsiella aerogenes
Lineage: Bacteria; Pseudomonadati; Pseudomonadota; Gammaproteobacteria; Enterobacterales; Enterobacteriaceae
Also listed under: 2 other names
Description: tRNA-Arg
Rfam family: tRNA
About the family: Transfer RNA (tRNA) molecules are approximately 80 nucleotides in length.
Source: RNAcentral
GCAUCCGUAGCUCAGCUGGAUAGAGUACUCGGCUACGAACCGAGCGGUCGGAGGUUCGGAUCCUCCCGGAUGCACCA